GACGAACGCUGGCGGCGUGCUUAACACAUGCAAGUCGAACGGAAAGGCCCUGCUUUUGUGGGGUGCUCGAGUGGCGAACGGGUGAGUAACACGUGAGUAACCUGCCCUUGACUUUGGGAUAACUUCAGGAAACUGGGGCUAAUACCGGAUAGGAGCUCCUGCUGCAUGGUGGGGGUUGGAAAGUUUCGGCGGUUGGGGAUGGACUCGCGGCUUAUCAGCUUGUUGGUGGGGUAGUGGCUUACCAAGGCUUUGACGGGUAGCCGGCCUGAGCGGGUGACCGGCCACAUUGGGACUGAGAUACGGCCCAGACUCCUCCGGGAGGCAGCAGUGGGGAAUAUUGCACAAUGGGCGGAAGCCUGAUGCAGCAACGCCGCGUGCGGGAUGACGGCCUUCGGGUUGUAAACCGCUUUCGCCUGUGACGAAGCGUGAGUGACGGUAAUGGGUAAAGAAGCACCGGCUAACUACGUG
This 468-nucleotide ribosomal RNA is filed under the name uncultured bacterium. RNAcentral's name for it is "partial 16S ribosomal RNA". It matches the Rfam family "Bacterial small subunit ribosomal RNA", at positions 28 to 507 of the family's 1533-position model. The record is from RNAcentral.